This 123-nucleotide ribosomal RNA is filed under the name Osopsaron formosensis. RNAcentral describes it as "partial 16S rRNA". Lineage: Eukaryota; Metazoa; Chordata; Actinopteri; Pempheriformes; Percophidae. The record is from RNAcentral.
UACCUAAUAGCUAGCUCAACCCUCUAAACCAAAAACUAAACAAUAAACCAAAAAUCAGACCCCUAAAACCCUUAAAACCAUCAAGUAAAUCAUUUUUCCCCUUUAGUAAGGGUGACAGAAAAA